UGAGUAACACGUAUCCAACCUGCCGUCUACUCUUGGACAGCCUUCUGAAAGGAAGAUUAAUACAGGAUGGCAUCAUGAGUCCGCAUGUUCACAUGAUUAAAGGUAUUCCGGUAGACGAUGGGGAUGCGUUCCAUUAGAUAGUAGGCGGGGUAACGGCCCACCUAGUCUUCGAUGGAUAGGGGUUCUGAGAGGAAGGUCCCCCACAUUGGAACUGAGACACGGUCCAA
Molecule: ribosomal RNA, 227 nt
Filed under: uncultured bacterium
Lineage: Bacteria
Description: partial 16S ribosomal RNA
Rfam family: Bacterial small subunit ribosomal RNA
Source: RNAcentral